This is a non-coding RNA of Arachis ipaensis, 435 nucleotides long. The record is from RefSeq and is a predicted model, not a curated record. Lineage: Eukaryota; Viridiplantae; Streptophyta; Magnoliopsida; Fabales; Fabaceae.
AUUGCGAGAGAUAUUCUACCUAUGCCGGUGUCAACGGUUGCUUCUGAAUCCGCCUUUAGCACUGGAGGUUGAGUGCUUAAUCAAUAUAGAAGCUCCCUUACCCCAAAAACUGUUGAAGCUUUGAUUUGUGUACAAAAUUGGUUUCGAGCCAAUUCAUUGCCAAUUGACCUUGAGGAGUCUUUUGAAGAAUUUGAAAAACUUGAGAAAGAACUUGAGCCAAUUCUUCAACUAAUAGAUGAAGAAGACUCUGGUGAUGAAUCUGAUUAGUGAUCGGUGCUUCACUUCUCAGCUUGGAAUUUUUUAUGUUAUGUUUUUAUUAAGACUUUGUUAUGUUAUUUAAUUUUAUGUUGUUGAGACUUGUUUAGUUGUUUUUAUGUUGAAGAAUUAUUAUUCAAGACUUGCUGUUGGAUAAUUGGAUUGUUGGAUAUUUGGACA